Molecule: ribosomal RNA, 674 nt
Filed under: Chroococcidiopsis cubana DNM 32R
Lineage: Bacteria; Bacillati; Cyanobacteriota; Cyanophyceae; Chroococcidiopsidales; Chroococcidiopsidaceae
Description: bacterial SSU rRNA
Rfam family: Bacterial small subunit ribosomal RNA
Source: RNAcentral
UUUUGAACCCCCCGCAGCACAAUCGCGUGAGGGGGGAAAGCUCUUGGGUCUUAAACCUCUUUUUUCAAAGAAGAAUCAAAUGACGGUACUUGAGGAAUCAGCAUCGGCUAACUCCGUGCCAGCAGCCGCGGUAAUACGGAGGAUGCAAGCGUUAUCCGGAAUGAUUGGGCGUAAAGCGUCCGCAGGUGGCACAUCAAGUCUGCUGUCAAAGCCCCCGGCUUAACUGGGAAGAGGCAGUGGAAACUGGAAAGCUAGAGAGCAAUAGGGGCAGAGGGAAUUCCCAGUGUAGCGGUGAAAUGCGUAGAGAUCGGGAAGAACACCGGUGGCGAAAGCGCUCUGCUAGGUUGCGACUGACACUGAGGGACGAAAGCUAGGGGAGCGAAUGGGAUUAGAUACCCCAGUAGUCCUAGCCGUAAACGAUGGAUACUAGGCGUUUCUCGUAUCGACCCGAGGAGUGUCGGAGCCAACGCGUUAAGUAUCCCGCCUGGGGAGUACGCACGCAAGUGUGAAACUCAAAGGAAUUGACGGGGGCCCGCACAAGCGGUGGAGUAUGUGGUUUAAUUCGAUGCAACGCGAAGAACCUUACCAGGGCUUGACAUGUCGCGAAUCUUGGGGAAACUCGGCAGUGCGAAAGGAGCCCGAACACAGGUGGUGCAUGGCGUCUCGCUCGUCCA